GACGAACGCUGACGGUGUGCUUUAGACAUGCAAGUCGAACGAGAAAGCCCUUCGGGGUGAGUAAAGUGGCGAACGGGUGAGUAACACGUGGGCAAUCUGCCCCUCGCAGGGGGGACAACCGGGGGAAACCCCGGCUAAUACCCCGUAAGCUCGAAAGGCCGCAUGGCUUUUCGAGGAAAGGUAGCUUCGGCCAUCCGGCGAGGGAUGAGCCCGCGGUGCAUUAGCUAGUUGGUGGGGUAACGCCCACCAAGGCGACGAUGCAUAGCUGGUCUGAGAGGAUGAUCAGCCACACUGGGACUGAGACACGGCCCAGACUCCUACGGGAGGCAGCAGUCGGGAAUCUUGCGCAAUGGGCGAAAGCCUGAC
RNAcentral lists this ribosomal RNA (366 nucleotides) under uncultured bacterium. RNAcentral describes it as "bacterial SSU rRNA". It matches the Rfam family "Bacterial small subunit ribosomal RNA", at positions 28 to 387 of the family's 1533-position model. The record is from RNAcentral.